Molecule: ribosomal RNA, 690 nt
Filed under: Corynebacterium falsenii
Lineage: Bacteria; Bacillati; Actinomycetota; Actinomycetes; Mycobacteriales; Corynebacteriaceae
Description: bacterial SSU rRNA
Rfam family: Bacterial small subunit ribosomal RNA
Source: RNAcentral
GCUCCUGCUUGCAGGGGUACUCGAGUGGCGAACGGGUGAGUAACACGUGGGUGAUCUGCCUUGUACUUCGGGAUAAGCCUGGGAAACUGGGUCUAAUACCGGAUAGGACCAUGCUUUAGUGUGUGUGGUGGAAAGUUUUUUCGGUACAAGAUGAGCCCGCGGCCUAUCAGCUUGUUGGUGGGGUAAUGGCCUACCAAGGCGACGACGGGUAGCCGGCCUGAGAGGGUGUACGGCCACAUUGGGACUGAGACACGGCCCAGACUCCUACGGGAGGCAGCAGUGGGGAAUAUUGCACAAUGGGCGCAAGCCUGAUGCAGCGACGCCGCGUGAGGGAUGACGGCCUUCGGGUUGUAAACCUCUUUCGCUAGGGAAGAAGCCACUUGUGGUGACGGUACCUGGAUAAGAAGCACCGGCUAACUACGUGCCAGCAGCCGCGGUAAUACGUAGGGUGCAAGCGUUGUCCGGAAUUACUGGGCGUAAAGAGCUCGUAGGUGGUUUGUCGCGUCGUCUGUGAAAUCCCGGGGCUUAACUCCGGGCGUGCGCGAUACGGGCAUAACUGGCUGUAGGGGAGACUGGAAUUCCUGGUGUAGCGGUGAAAUGCGCAGAUAUCAGGAGGAACACCGAUGGCGAAGGCAGGUCUCUGGGCAGUAACUGACGCUGAGGAGCGAAAGCAUGGGUAGCGAACAGGAU